GGGAAAGCCUCAGGUCAGGCAGCCAUCUUGUUCUGAGCAUGCCCAGUAGCUCAUCACAGGAAAACAAAAUGGCGGAUGUUAUGUGAGCGUGCAGUAGAAUCCCUCAAGACUGCAAAACCAAAUGACUGACAGAUUAUUCCAAAAUCAACAGGGAGAUUAAAAGAGGCAGAAAACAAACAGAGUCCACCAAAAAGCACAGCUCUUUGAGUGACUGGAGUCACCACGGGGCUGACCCAAGACAUUAUGCAGCAUAAGGAGAAUGACAAGAUGAAACCCAUCGCCAGUUCCAGGUACAGACCGAUUGAGCAGGCAAGUAAAAUAUAUUUUGACUCAUUAUGAUAUUGCAUCCUAUGCUACAGUUGAAAGCAGAAGACUAAAUCAGAGAGUGCAGGACAAACCGGUGGCCUACAUGGAAUAGGAUUUUAGCUUUUAAUAGUGUGCCCUACCCAUCUGUUUACCCACUUGUGUCAUUCCCUACCCCCAGUCUUUGGUCAUGGUGUGCAGUUACUUGCCAUUUUUCUGGCUUGUAUUUUUGCUCAUUUGGAUGCGUUCUUUAGUUGACUUCUAUUUAACAUUCUCACUACUUGGCACCCUUUUAACUGCACAUAUCUGGUUGUGAUAUGCAAAUGGAUCACAAGCUAACACUGGUUUAUGCAUAGAGCAGCCCUCAUUCCUGCCCGAGUUUUAGAAGGGACUCGUAAGUGUCACCUAAUCCAACACUGCUAGUUCAGGCAUCCACAGAUCAAGUGUCCUGGACAGUGGACUGUCCAUGUUUUGUUUGAAAACCUCCAGUGGAGGAGAACCCACUAUCUUCUGAGAUAGCUCACUCCAUUGUCAAACAGACAUCGCUGCUAAGUUUUCCAAUUAGCAUUAUUGUGCAUAUUAAUUACUGGGACAGGGACAUGGGAGGGGAAAGGCAGCCUUCAGAGCCCUGUGUUUCAGACACCAAAAUGGCAUUUCAAUUUCUGUGCAUCUUCUUUACAUCCGUUCCUGAAUUAGGGUGAGUUACUUGUUGCACACCCUCAAGAGCAAGGGCCAAUUCAAAAAUUGCAAGUAAGGGAUGCUUGUGAAGGAACAGCCAAAAAUGUGCCGCUCGCACAACCGAGUUUCAUGCAGUCAGCAGGUUCAGAAGCGCAAGAACCCGCUCGACUGGAUUCCAACAGUGCCUCAUUAUUUGCAGUGUGGAACAGUGUGACUUGGUGUCCUGGGUUUAAGUGCUACAAUACUAUAUGUUGAACCCCUUUUCCCUGCUGGUGGAUAUGAAAGAAGGGGUACAGUUCCCACUUUUGAUUCCCUGCUCUGUUCUCACACCCACAUUCUUUUUUCUUGUCUGAUCAGCGGGGAACCUCAACUGUGUAUAUAGGGGAGAACUCAUUGAAUCCUCUGUGUUUCUUUGUGUUUUCCCUAGAGGCAAUCUUCUGUGUCCUGGCUGGGCCAUGCAAAAACAACGCUUUCCCCCAAUGGAGUUAGAAACAGAUGAGAAACAACAUUUUAUGGAAGCUGGGAAGCAUUUUGUGCCCAGGCUUUUUGGGAUGCAGGUAGUCAUGAAGGGAGCAUCCUGAUUACCCAAAAUUGGUAUGAGCAAAGAUAGACCCUGGGGCGGCAUGUAUUCCUCAAGGCUGUUUUGAACCCCCCCCCCCCCCAAAAAAAAAAGAUUUUUUUUUUAUCGUGUCAGAAGCAACUUGAGAACAUAUUGCAAGUCGCUGCUGGUGUGAGAGAAUUGGCUGUCUACAGAUAUGUUGCCCAGGGGACACCCAGAUGUGUUACCAUCCUGCUAGGAGGCUUCUCUCAUGUCCCCGCAAGUUAGAGCUGACAGACAGGAGCUCACCCUGUCUCGCGGAUUCAAACCGGCAAUAUUCAGGUUAGCAAACCAACCUUCAAGUCAGCAGUUCAGCUGGCACAAGGGUUUAACCCAUUGUGCCACCGUGGCUCCCCCAAAAUAGAUGAGCUCUCUUUUCCCUGGUCAAAAAAGGUGGUAAAUUACCUCUUCAGGAGGUUCCAGGAAUGGCAGUUCAUCUUUUAGGUAAUUAUUAGGAAACUUAAUUAGGGGUAGCCUGCAGCAAAAUACAACAAAACCAACACAAGCACAUUACCUUUAUUGGUCCAACCCUAAUGCAGCAAGUAUCUCACACAAGCCUUCAAAGCUCCAUUGGUAAAUCUUACCGUUAGGCAUUUCUCCUCUAAUAUUUAAGCAAAAAUCUGCUUUUCUGUUUUUUUAACUUGGUCCUUGGAGCAGCAAAGGACACAUCUGUUCUGUCUUCUAUAUGCCAACCCUUGACAGAUAUUUAAAAUCAUAGAAUCUAAAGCAGUCAUGGGCAAACAUUUGCCCUCCAGAUGUUUUGGACUUCAACUCCCAUAAUUCAUAACAGCCUCAAGCCCCUUCCUUUUCCCCCUUAGCCACUUAAGCGGAAAAGGAAAAGUAUUGAGGCUUUUAGGAAUUGUGGGAGUUAAAGUCCAAACACUUGGAGGGCUGAAGUCUGCCCAUGCCUAAUCUAAAGCGUUGGAAGGGACCGUGGGCAAGUCAUACUCUCUCAGCCUCAGGAGGACAAAAGCAACCCCUUUACAGACAAAUUUUGCCAAGAAAACCCCAUGAUGGGUUGCUUUGGAAGUAUGUGUGUGUGUGUGUGUGUAUAAACAGAAGAAACCUAGAAUGGGAAAAGAUCCCCCAGGUUCAUCCAGUCCAACCUUCUGUCCCUGGAAAGGCAGACAGACGGAGGUCAGGGAAUAAGGGGGAGGUGCAGCCACGGCAGGGCCAGGGAGACUCACCCAGGUUGACGAAACUCAUGACUGUGUCGGCAGCCCUCCUCGGCGGCGCCCAGGCUUGGGGUCUCCAGGGUCCCUGCUCCUGCCCUCCACCCUCCUCCUCUUCGUCUUCCUCAUCUUCCUCCUGGCUGGCCAUGGUGCGGUAGAGGUCCAGCAUGAAGAGCGGCGCUGCAGCUGAGAUGGGACGGGGCUGACGGCGGCGCUUGGUAGCCGGGGAAGAGGAGGAUGGGGGCAGUGGUGGCAGGAGGGCUCUUCCUCUUGGCCGGGGUCUCCCUGGGAGGCCCAGCAGUGCCAGGAUCUCGCGUUGCAUCUCGCGUUGCACCUGCCGCCCGUUCAGUCGGCGGUGAUGCGCAGGGAGAGGCAGAGGAUGGCGAUUCUGAUGCUGCUGCUGCUGGUGGCGGCAUGAGGACGAGGAGGAUCGAGAAGUAGCAGCCAGCAGGAGCCCUGGCAGGAAGAGAAGGGGGACGAGCAGCAGCACUGCUGGGAGCCGCAUGGUGAGGCCCUUUAAGCGGGAGGGUCUUUGGGCCAAGGGGACGGCCCCUGCCCUGCCUCCUCCAGCUGGAGACAGGUGAGUGAGGAGGACAGCUCCAGCCACUUGCCACUAACUAUUCGACUCCUCCAGUAUGCGGGAGAGGCUGCCUUGGGACAGGAGAGGGAGGCUGGCCCAGCCGCUUGGUUCAUUCACUCACUCCGUAAGUAGGGAGGGAGGAGGCACUCCCGUUGCCCUCAUUGCUGGCCCGCCCCAUUUCAGCAAGUCCCUGGCCUGGGAGAGGAGCCCAGCAGAGCAGAGAAGCCCUCAGCUAGGAAGGGCUGAUGUCACAGGGUAGAAGCCUCUCCUUCCCACUGUUCUUUUGCAGCUACAGGUGAGCCAAGCCUAGACUCCAGAUAUUGGGCUGCAAUUCCCAGCAGUCCUGGCUAAUGUAACCAGUGGCCAGCAAUUUUUGGAGUUGACAAUUCUAUGACAUUCGGAGAGCUGCAAAGUUCCUGUCCCUAUCAUAAGCCUGGAACGGGUUUGCGGCUGCAGUCCAGUGAGAUGGAGAAAGGAGGCUCCUGAGAGGCAAAUCUAUGGAAUGGUCAGAGGCAGAGCCACCCCAUGAAGUACUUUUUUGUGUCAGGAGUGACUUGAGAAACUGCAAGAGCUCCCGGUAGCACAAUGGGUUAAACCCUUGUGCCAGCAGGACUGCUGACUGAAAGGUUAGCAGAUCAAAUCCGGGGAGCAGGGUGAGCUCCCGUCUGUCAGUUCCAGUUUCCCAUGUGGGGGACAUGAAAGAAGCUUCCCAUAGGAUGGUAAAACAUCCGGGCAUCUCCUGGGCAACAUCCCUGCAGAUGGCCAAUUCUCUCAAACCAGAAGCGAAUUGCAGUUUCCUCCCUGCUGAGGGGUUAGGAAUCUGCCCUGGGCCUCCUUAUUGAUGGGGAGGGAAUUUGGCUGUUAGGUGGAUGAUAUCCUAUUGUGCCUCUAAAUUAGAACUGUCCUUGCUUUGCAGAUGGAAAUGUUUUCCUUUGAUGACAGUGAGGAAGUAUUACACAUUCUGAGAAGUUUUUGUAGAAAAACCUGGGUGCCUCUCAAUGCCUGCUUUCAUUGGGGCAGGCUUUUUGACAAAAUAGCAUACCUGAGUCAUGUUGACAUAAAGUUCUGCUCCCUUAGCAAAUGGAGUAUAUUUUCCUCAAUAACAGCUUUCCAGGACUCUGUUAUCUUGUUCUGGGUCUUCAGAUCAUUUCUGACUUAUGAUGACCCUAAGGUGAGCCUAUUAUUGGGGUUUUUUGGGAGGCAGAAUUUGUUCAGAGGGGUUCUAGCACUUAUCUGUACCUUACCUCAUUGAUCUUGCAGAGGAUUCAAUUCUUAACCUAACACAUCCAUUAAAAUUUGGAGGUCUGCGUCCGAGCUGUACAAGGUCCCAACCGAGGGUGGGAAUUCUGUAGGUGAAGGUGCCCUUGAGCAUGUUCAGAGCAUACACUUUCACCGUUGCAGCUAUGACCUGUCAAAACUACUUGUGUUGUUGGACUGGCUGGGGACCCAUUAUACCACCUCCUCUAUUUUCCCAGAUGUCAUGCUGAAUUCUGCGAGAAUAUCAGAGGCAUGCUUGUGUUUGCUUGGGUAGCAGCCUCACAGCGAGCACUGGGAAUAAAGUAGUAGACAAUAGAGAGCAAUUUUGGGUUUUGUUUUUGUUUUGUUUUUUGCUUAAGGCUAGCUCUAUAGCAGUCCAAGAUGGUAGUUAUAGGAGGUUGGAGCCAAGUACCCGCAGAGUCUUCUAUGCCUUGGCCAAGAGGCCAACCAUCCCAUUGUUUACAACUGAUUUUUGAACAACUAAUCUAAGCAUGGUUAGCCCUGGUUAUUACUUGGAUGGGAGACCACCAAUGAGUACCAUGUUGUGCAGACUAUAUUUUAGAGGAAGGAAUGGGCACGCCCUCCUGUUCCUUGCCUAAGAAAACCUUGUGGAAAUCAUGGGGUUGCCAUAGGUGGAUAGGCUCCUUGAAGGCCUGCACAAGCACAAACCACCACAGAGGAGGUCCCUGGAUUAGUCUUCUCUGAGGAAGGAAAGGUCAGUAAGGAUACCCACCCCCAGUACACACACACAUUCCCUCUCAAUCUGAUGGUUUUCUAUGCAGCACAAAGCAAGAGGCAUGUUGCUUAUUAUUACUGCAAGCAAUUUUAAUACAAAAAGAGUAUUUUCUUUUAAAACAAUUCAUUGGUAGAGCUUCAGGUUCUGGCUCAAAUCAACCAACUGAGAAUCACACAGCAAUAUGGUCAGUCAGAGCAAGGGAAAAGAGUACAAGGUAAUAAAUACAGGAAGACCAAGUAGCCCCUGCCCCAUCUCUUCCCUCCCCCUGCUUUAGGGUCACACAAGUUUAGCUUUUUUUUUCAUUCCUCCCUUUCACACACACCCCCAAUAAAGGGAAGAAAAGUGGAGGGCGCAUACAAAAGUGUGUGUUUGUGUGUGAGCGGAGGCUGGCGAAGGGGGGGGGGGGGGCUGCUGGUGAUACACUUUUAAAAACUCCCAAGCGGCUGUGCGUCUUGAAGGCAGCUCUUCUCUGGAGCGGAGGGUCUCCUGUGGCCAGGCUCAGUCCAGAGGCAAGAGAAUAAAUAGGAAACAAUGCAGUCCGCCACUUGUCACAUAGCAGUCCAUGAACUGAAAAGUGAGGGGAGGGGGGCUGUUGUUUUUGCAGCGGCUAGAGCGUAUCCCCGUUGCUGCUACAUUGUCAAACAAAGGGAUGUGUGCCCAGGGUCCCUCAGGCCCAAGGAAUCUUCUGGCAUUUUUGGCAGCUUCAAGUUGAACACCUGCUGCCCCCUCCCCAAAGUACAGGAUCAGUUAUCCUUUUAAAAAGCCUAGCAGCUGAUGAGGCGUUUGCACAUUGCUAUAAGUAUACAGUGUUGUUGUUUUUCUUAGUGAGCUCCUUUAGUGGAACAAAAGUUGUGCAAAUGUUUGUUCAAACUCACUCUGUUGCAAUCUUCAGGUAAAACCAGGAAUUCUUUUUUUUUUUUAGAAAAAAAACUGGAAACAGAAGCCCCAGGUUCCCUUGCUGCAUGUUUUCUCUCUUUUUGAGGUAUCCAAGAUUUACACAAAAAAAGAAAAAGAAAGAGAGAGUUCCUUGAACACUGCUUGGAUAGUCCUGUGUUGCUUUUCUCAAUAACUUGCUGGGACAGCAAGUGAAACGUUGUUUUCUCAUAACAAUGUUUUAGGAAACAAUCCUAAAAGAUAAAGCAGGAUAAAGCUCCUGCGCUGCACAGAAAUCCUAUUUAUAAUUGUUUAGUUUGUACAUUUUCACAUCCUGACCUUUUGCUUGUCUCAGUCCCUCCCCCCGACCCAAACGCAAAGAAGGUCACCAGAAGGCAAAUUUUAUCUACAUAAAUAUUCACAUGAAAAUAGUAACUUACAAAAGAAAUUAACAGAACAAAAUAAGGCAGCUUGACAACUUUUUUUAAACUUUAAACAAUAUAUAUAUAUUUUCCAUCUAGAAUAAAUAUGCACCCAGCAGGGUGUUUCAAUAGCUGGGUCCUUUCUCUUAAUGUCAGUUUUGCCAGGCAGGAAAUAUGAUGGAUGCCAUGUUAUCUCCUAGCACCGGGCAUUUUGGGGCUGACAGCAGUGUUGGCGGUAGGCGUCUUUUUUGUGAUCGUCGGGAUCUUGGAGGGCUUUGCCCCUGUGCCCCGCCGGGAGCCCCCUUGCCCUCCAGUAGCGCUGCUCUCGGAGGUGUCGGAGCAGGCAGACUGGGUCUCCAGGUCGAAAUCCGAGGCGUCGCUGCCCCGGCGGCUGCUGGCCCGGCUACCAGCCCUACUGGUUGGGCGGCUGGUGGUCUUCUUUGGGUCUGGAAAUAUGAAAAGCAGGUGCUUAGCCACUACCACAAAUAGGCAAAUGGAAAAUAGGGAGGGAGGGAGGGGAGGUAGGUUAAAGACAAAGAGGCAAGGAGGUUCUUUGGGGAGGCUGGCCUAUGGGCGAUCAUAGGCACACCAGCACAUAGGCCCCAUGGGGAGGUUGGACAUAGGUGUCUGUGUCCCAUAGGUUGUCCAAUGGCCAACUGGCCCAUUGAGCCUCCCUGCCUAUGUGCCUAUGAACACCCAUAGAUGCGUAAAGCAUGGGCAGCUUUCCAACCUGGAAUCAUAAGAGUUGGAAGAAAACACAUCCAAUGCUAGCCUAUUCUACCAUGCAGUGAAAAUGUAGCGUGUUUCAAAAAGAUGGACCCGAUUGAAAUCAUGCCCACAAGUGAAAUGUUGAGUUGUAAAGUUCCAGAGCAUACCUGCCAGACGUGCUCUCACUGCACAAACAACCGCCAGGCUCAGUCAUUUACAAGACUGAGACCCGGCAACAUAAGGCCCAAUGAGAUGUUCUCUAUUUUUGCAGUAAUUUUUAAGAUUUGUGUUUGGCUCAAAAUAAUUUGUUAAACAUGAUAGCUCAUAAAAUGAUUGUGCAACA
Long non-coding RNA from Anolis carolinensis (green anole), 7670 nucleotides. RefSeq lists it as uncharacterized. Lineage: Eukaryota; Metazoa; Chordata; Lepidosauria; Squamata; Anolidae. The transcript has 2 exons. The record is from RefSeq and is a predicted model, not a curated record.